Truncatella angustata is the source of this 108-nucleotide non-coding RNA. The record is from the annotation of a RefSeq genome assembly. NCBI's taxonomy places the organism in Eukaryota, Fungi, Ascomycota, Sordariomycetes, Amphisphaeriales, Sporocadaceae.
GGUGAGAUGGCCGAGUGGUCUAAGGCGCUGUGUUUAGGUCUGUUACGCUUUCGCAACAACCCAGAACCGCAGUCAGUAAUGGCGUGGGUUCGAAUCCCACUCUCAUCA